GCUUAACACAUGCAAGUCGAGCGGUAAGGCCCUUCGGGGUACACGAGCGGCGAACGGGUGAGUAACACGUGGGUGAUCUGCCUCGCACUCUGGGAUAAGCCUGGGAAACUGGGUCUAAUACCGGAUAUGAGCAGCCUCUGCAUGGGGGUUGUUGGAAAGGUUUACUGGUGCGAGAUGGGCCCGCGGCCUAUCAGCUUGUUGGUGAGGUAACGGCUCACCAAGGCGACGACGGGUAGCCGGCCUGAGAGGGCGACCGGCCACACUGGGACUGAGACACGGCCCAGACUCCUACGGGAGGCAGCAGUGGGGAAUAUUGCACAAUGGGCGAAAGCCUGAUGCAGCGACGCCGCGUGAGGGAUGACGGCCUUCGGGUUGUAAACCUCUUUUGACAGGGACGAAGCGCAAGUGACGGUACCUGUAGAAGAAGCACCGGCCAACUACGUGCCAGCAGCCGCGGUAAUACGUAGGGUGCGAGCGUUGUCCGGAAUUACUGGGCGUAAAGAGCUUGUAGGCGGUCUGUCGCGUCGAUUGUGAAAACUUGCAGCUCAACUGCAAGCUUGCAGUCGAUACGGGCAGACUAGAGUACUGCAGGGGAGACUGGAAUUC
Molecule: ribosomal RNA, 606 nt
Filed under: Nocardia inohanensis
Lineage: Bacteria; Bacillati; Actinomycetota; Actinomycetes; Mycobacteriales; Nocardiaceae
Description: bacterial SSU rRNA
Rfam family: Bacterial small subunit ribosomal RNA
Source: RNAcentral